GACGAAGGUGGCGAGCGUUGUUCGGAAUCACUGGGCAUAAAGAGCACGUAGGCGGCGCGGUAAGUCGGAUGUGAAAUCCCUCGGCCCAACCGAGGAACUGCGUCCGAUACUGCCGGGCUUGAGACCGGGAGGGGUGCGUGGAAUUCCGGGUGGAGCGGUGAAAUGCGUUGAUAUCCGGAGGAACACCGGCGGCGAAAGCGACGCACUGGUCCGGUUCUGACGCUGAGGUGCGAAAGCCAGGGGAGCAAACGGG
Molecule: unclassified non-coding RNA, 253 nt
Filed under: uncultured Planctomycetota bacterium
Lineage: Bacteria; Pseudomonadati; Planctomycetota
Description: uncultured planctomycete contains 16S-23S intergenic spacer region
Rfam family: Bacterial small subunit ribosomal RNA
Source: RNAcentral